This is a long non-coding RNA of Toxorhynchites rutilus septentrionalis, 713 nucleotides long. RefSeq lists it as uncharacterized. The record is from RefSeq and is a predicted model, not a curated record. NCBI's taxonomy places the organism in Eukaryota, Metazoa, Arthropoda, Insecta, Diptera, Culicidae. The transcript has 3 exons.
GUGUGGCGCCUGUUUAAAAUGAAUGUCAGAUGCAAUACACAUCCCUACCAACAUUCAUUUACUUCGCGGUAUUAGUAACUUCUACGAUUGUCAUUACUGGCAACCGCGAGGAAAAUGUAAAUAUAACUUCAUUAGCCUAUUUACCAAGUUGUUAAUUAAGUUGCACGGGACUACUUUCCAAUAUUUAUUUCUUCACAGAAGAAGGUCGUAUUCACUCAGAUUCGGGACAGAUAGCAAUGAUUUGUGCUCGUCUGCUGCUGGAGAAUGCGAAGACAUUACUUCAAUAAUAAGGAAUCUGGGUACUUCGAUACACAAAAUCGAGCUCUGUCGAGUCCUAGUUCUGCCUUUAUGCUGUUGGAUUUGGUCAAGGACAACUUCAUAAACGUUUUGCAGACGAUUGUGAUCGGUGGUUCGAUCAAUCGGAUUAAGCCUCACUUAAUUCCGCCUGGGUUUUGUCAGCUUCGUGAUAUCUCCCGAAUGUGUUUGGCUGAGAAGUAAUUACACGCUGGUCCUGGGAGAUGAUAAUGCCAUGGAUCAGACCCAAUCGAUGCAGGAUCAGAUGUCGAUAGUUUAGAUAGUUCAAUAAAUGAAUAAAGAUACAUACAAAAGCUCAAUAAGUUCAUAACAAUAUAUGCAUAAAGGUUGGGUUAACAUAACAUGUUUAGGGUAUAUGUUGAACCAACGUUGAACCGACUGCUUAUACUGGGUUGUAC